CCUUGAAAUACCACCCUUUAAUGUUUGAUGUUCUAACGUGGACCCGUAAUCCGGGUUGCGGACAGUGUCUGGUGGGUAGUUUGACUGGGGCGGUCUCCUCCUAAAGAGUAACGGAGGAGCACGAAGGUUGGCUAAUCCUGGUCGGACAUCAGGAGGUUAGUGCAAUGGCAUAAGCCAGCUUGACUGCGAGCGUGACGGCGCGAGCAGGUGCGAAAGCAGGUCAUAGUGAUCCGGUGGUUCUGAAUGGAAGGGCCAUCGCUCAACGGAUAAAAGGUACUCCGGGGAUAACAGGCUGAUACCGCCCAAGAGUUCAUAUCGACGGCGGUGUUUGGCACCUCGAUGUCGGCUCAUCACAUCCUGGGGCUGAAGUAGGUCCCAAGGGUAUGGCUGUUCGCCAUUUAAAGUGGUACGCGAGCUGGGUUUAGAACGUCGUGAGACAGUUCGGUCCCUAUCUGCCGUGGGCGCUGGAGAACUGAGGGGGGCUGCUCCUAGUACGAGAGGACCGGAGUGGACGCAUCACUGGUGUUCGGGUUGUCAUGCCAAUGGCACUGCCCGGUAGCUAAAUGCGGAAGAGAUAAGUGCUGAAAGCAUCUAAGCACGAAACUUGCCCCGA
Molecule: ribosomal RNA, 613 nt
Filed under: Salmonella enterica subsp. enterica serovar Infantis
Lineage: Bacteria; Pseudomonadati; Pseudomonadota; Gammaproteobacteria; Enterobacterales; Enterobacteriaceae
Also listed under: 9 other names
Description: partial 23S ribosomal RNA
Rfam family: Bacterial large subunit ribosomal RNA
Source: RNAcentral